Molecule: ribosomal RNA, 501 nt
Filed under: uncultured bacterium
Lineage: Bacteria
Description: partial 16S ribosomal RNA
Rfam family: Bacterial small subunit ribosomal RNA
Source: RNAcentral
AUUGAACGCUGGCGGCAUGCCUUACACAUGCAAGUCGAACGGCAGCACGGGUGCUUGCACCUGGUGGCGAGUGGCGAACGGGUGAGUAAUACAUCGGGACGUACCUUAUCGUGGGGGAUAACGCAGCGAAAGCUGUGCUAAUACCGCAUACGCCCUGAGGGGGAAAGCGGGGGAUCGAAAGACCUCGCGCGAUUAGAGCGGCCGAUGCCUGAUUAGCUUGUUGGUGGGGUAAAAGCCCACCAAGGCGACGAUCAGUAGCUGGUCUGAGAGGACGAUCAGCCACACUGGGACUGAGACACGGCCCAGACUCCUACGGGAGGCAGCAGUGGGGAAUUUUGGACAAUGGGGGCAACCCUGAUCCAGCAAUGCCGCGUGAGUGAAGAAGGCCUUCGGGUUGUAAAGCUCUUUUGUCAGGGAAGAAACACCGGCUCUAACACAGUCCGGGGAUGACGGUACCUGAAGAAUAAGCACCGGCUAACUACGUGCCAGCAGCCGCCGUAA